This 472-nucleotide ribosomal RNA is filed under the name uncultured bacterium. RNAcentral describes it as "partial 16S ribosomal RNA". It matches the Rfam family "Bacterial small subunit ribosomal RNA", at positions 28 to 507 of the family's 1533-position model. The record is from RNAcentral.
GACGAACGCUGGCGGCGUGCUUAACACAUGUAAGUCGAACGCUGAAGCUUGGUGCUUGCACUGGGUGGAUGAGUGGCGAACGGGUGAGUAAUACGUGAGUAACCUGCCCUUGACUCUGGGAUAAGCCUGGGAGACUGGGUCUAAUACUGGAUACGACAUGUCACCGCAUGGUGGUGUGUGGAAAGGGUUUUACUGGUUUUGGAUGGGCUCACGGCCUAUCAGCUUGUUGGUGGGGUAAUGGCUCACCAAGGCGACGACGGGUAGCCGGCCUGAGAGGGUGACCGGCCACACUGGGACUGAGACACGGCCCAGACUCCUACGGGAGGCAGCAGUGGGGAAUAUUGCACAAUGGGCGGAAGCCGGAUGCAGCGACGCCGCGUGAGGGAUGACGGCCUUCGGGUUGUAAACCUCUUUCAGCACGGAAGAAGCGAAAGUGACGGUACGUGCAGAAGAAGCGCCGGCUAACUACGUG